AUGGGAACGCGAAGAACCUUACCUAGACUUGACAUCUCCUGAAUAGUGUAGAGAUACAUGAAGCCCUUCGGGGCAGGAAGACAGGUGGUGCAUGGUUGUCGUCAGCUCGUGUUGUGAAAUGUUGGGUUAAGUCCCGCAACGAGCGCAACCCUUAUCCUUUGUUGCCAGCGGUUCGGCCGGGAACUCAAAGGAGACUGCCAGUGAUAAACUGGAGGAAGGUGGGGAUGACGUCAAGUCAUCAUGGCCCUUACGAGUAGGGCUACACACGUGCUACAAUGGCGCAUACAAAGAGAAGCGACCUCGCGAGAGCAAGCGGACCUCAUAAAGUGCGUCGUAGUCCGGAUUGGAGUCUGCAACUCGACUCCAUGAAGUCGGAAUCGCUAGUAAUCGUAGAUCAGAAUGCUACGGUGAAUACGUUCCCGGGUCUUGUACACACCG
This 438-nucleotide ribosomal RNA is filed under the name uncultured bacterium. Its description in RNAcentral is "bacterial SSU rRNA". It matches the Rfam family "Bacterial small subunit ribosomal RNA", at positions 954 to 1392 of the family's 1533-position model. The record is from RNAcentral.